RNAcentral lists this ribosomal RNA (135 nucleotides) under Sorex araneus (European shrew). Lineage: Eukaryota; Metazoa; Chordata; Mammalia; Eulipotyphla; Soricidae. The record is from RNAcentral.
UUGGAUGGCCUUACUACCCUGCAUGGACCUAAUUUUAUCCCAUCUCAGAAGUUAAACAUGGUUAGUCCUUGUUUAGUACUUAGAUGGGAGAAAUACACCGUGGGAUUUACUGUGGAUCUUUUGAUGCCAUAUAUU